GACGAACGCUGGCGGCGUGCCUAAUACAUGCAAGUAGAACGCUGAAGAGAGGAGCUUACUCUUCUUGGAUGAGUUGCGAACGGGUGAGUAACGCGUAGGUAACCUGCCUUGUAGCGGGGGAUAACUAUUGGAAACGAUAGCUAAUACCGCAUAACAAUGGAUGACACAUGUCAUUUAUUUGAAAGGGGCAAUUGCUCCACUACAAGAUGGACCUGCGUUGUAUUAGCUAGUAGGUGAGGUAAUGGCUCACCUAGGCGACGAUACAUAGCCGACCUGAGAGGGUGUUCGGCCACACUGGGACUGAGACACGGCCCAGGCGCCUACGGGAGGCAGCAGUAGGGGAGCUUCGGCAAUGGGGGCAACCCUGACCGAGCAACGCCGCGUGAGGGAAGAAGGUUUUCGGAUCGUAAAGCUCGGUUGUAAGUCAAGAACGGGGGUGAGAGUGGAAAGUUCACACUGUGACGGUAGCUUACCAGAAAGGGACGGCUAACUACGUG
RNAcentral lists this ribosomal RNA (497 nucleotides) under uncultured bacterium. Its description in RNAcentral is "partial 16S ribosomal RNA". It matches the Rfam family "Bacterial small subunit ribosomal RNA", at positions 28 to 507 of the family's 1533-position model. The record is from RNAcentral.